ACGCUCGACACCUACGGGAGGCAGCAGUGAGGAAUAUUGGUCAAUGGGCGCUAGCCUGAACCAGCCAAGUAGCGUGAAGGAUGAAGGCUCUAUGGGUCGUAAACUUCUUUUAUAUAAGAAUAAAGUGCAGUAUGUAUACUGUUUUGUAUGUAUUAUAUGAAUAAGGAUCGGCUAACUCCGUGCCAGAAGCCGCGGUAAUCUGAGCGGGCUGGCAAGGC
Molecule: ribosomal RNA, 218 nt
Filed under: uncultured bacterium
Lineage: Bacteria
Description: partial 16S ribosomal RNA
Rfam family: Bacterial small subunit ribosomal RNA
Source: RNAcentral